This 223-nucleotide long non-coding RNA is filed under the name Nicotiana benthamiana. Its description in RNAcentral is "long non-coding RNA (NBEN_LNC022761)". The record is from RNAcentral. Lineage: Eukaryota; Viridiplantae; Streptophyta; Magnoliopsida; Solanales; Solanaceae.
AGAGGGCUGCACAGCUUGGAGAGGACCCACGGUUCCUGGUUUGAUCUUUCAAAAAACUCCCCACUUGAUUUCUCAUCUUCUACACACACAAUCACACGUUGGAGAUUCACCUUUAUAGACUUUAGGUCUCGCACGUCCUUCAAUCGUUGUGGAAGAGAAUCAAAGUGAAUUCGAAUUGUAUUUUGGAUCUGGAAACAAAACCCUUCAAACACUGAUAAUAAGG